This 30-nucleotide non-coding RNA is filed under the name Rattus norvegicus (Norway rat). Lineage: Eukaryota; Metazoa; Chordata; Mammalia; Rodentia; Muridae. The record is from RNAcentral.
UCAGAAUUGCUUCUGAGUCUAGCUUGAUGG